AACGAACGCUGGCGGCAUGCCUAACACAUGCAAGUCGAACGAGACCUUCGGGUCUAUUGGCGCACGGGUGCGUAACGCGUGGUAACCUGCCCUUAGGUUCGGAAUAACUCCCCGAAAGGGGUGCUAAUACCGGUUAAUGUCUUCGGACCUAAGAUUUACCGCCUUUGGAUGGGCCCGCGUUGGAUUAGCUAGUUGGUAGGGUAAAAGCCUACCAAGGCGACGAUCCAUAGCUGGUCUGAGAGGAUGAUCAGCCACACUGGGACUGAGACACGGCCCAGACUCCUACGGGAGGCAGCAGUGGGGAAUAUUGGACAAUGGGCGAAAGCCUGAUCCAGCAAUGCCGCGUGAGUGAUGAAGGCCUUAGGGUUGUAAAGCUCUUUUACCCGGGAUGAUAAUGACAGUACCGGGAGAAUAAGCACCGGCUAACUCCGUG
RNAcentral lists this ribosomal RNA (433 nucleotides) under uncultured bacterium. Its description in RNAcentral is "partial 16S ribosomal RNA". It matches the Rfam family "Bacterial small subunit ribosomal RNA", at positions 29 to 507 of the family's 1533-position model. The record is from RNAcentral.